AGCAGCCGCGGUAAUUCCAGCUCCAAUAGCGUAUAUUAAAGUUGUUGUGGUUAAAAAGCUCGUAGUUGAACCUUGGGCCUGGCUGGCCGGUCCGCCUCACCGCGUGUACUGGUCCGGCCGGGCCUUUCCCUCUGUGGAACCCCAUGCCCUUCACUGGGUGUGGUGGGGAAACAGGACUUUUACUGUGAAAAAAUUAGAGUGCUCCAGGCAGGCCUAUGCUCGAAUACAUUAGCAUGGAAUAAUAGAAUAGGACGUGUGGUUCUAUUUUGUUGGUUUCUAGGACCGCCGUAAUGAUUAAUAGGGACAGUCGGGGGCAUCAGUAUUCAAUUGUCAGAGGUGAAAUUCUUGGAUUUAUUGAAGACUAACUACUGCGAAAGCAUUUGCCAAGGAUGUUUUCAUUAAUCAGGAACGAAAGUUAGGGGAUCGAAGACGAUCAGAUACCGUCGUAGUCUUAACCAUAAACUAUGCCG
This 470-nucleotide ribosomal RNA is filed under the name uncultured Paraglomus. RNAcentral's name for it is "SSU rRNA". It matches the Rfam family "Eukaryotic small subunit ribosomal RNA", at positions 569 to 1044 of the family's 1831-position model. The record is from RNAcentral. Lineage: Eukaryota; Fungi; Glomeromycota; Glomeromycetes; Paraglomerales; Paraglomeraceae.